UAAGAUAAAUUUUGAAGGCGGAUAUGGC
RNAcentral lists this non-coding RNA (28 nucleotides) under Rattus norvegicus (Norway rat). The record is from RNAcentral. Lineage: Eukaryota; Metazoa; Chordata; Mammalia; Rodentia; Muridae.